AGUGAACGCUGGCGGUAGGCCUAACACAUGCAAGUCGAACGGCAGCACAGUAAGAGCUUGCUCUUACGGGUGGCGAGUGGCGGACGGGUGAGGAAUACAUCGGAAUCUACUUUUUCGUGGGGGAUAACGUAGGGAAACUUACGCUAAUACCUCAUACGACCUACGGGUUAAAGCAGGGGAUCUUCGGACCUUGCGCGAUUGAAUGAGCCGAUGUCGGAUUAGCUAGUUGGCGGGGUAAAGGCCCACCAAGGCGACGAUCCGUAGCUGGUCUGAGAGGAUGAUCAGCCACACUGGAACUGAGACACGGUCCAGACUCCUACGGGAGGCAGCAGUGGGGAAUAUUGGACAAAGGGCGCAAGCCUGAUCCAGCCAUACCGCGUGGGUGAAGAAGGCCUUCGGGUUGUAAAGCCCUUUUGUUGGGAAAGAAAAGCAGCAGGUUAAUACCCCGCUGUUCUGACGGUACCCAAAGAAUAAGCACCGGCUAACUUCGUG
Molecule: ribosomal RNA, 492 nt
Filed under: uncultured bacterium
Lineage: Bacteria
Description: partial 16S ribosomal RNA
Rfam family: Bacterial small subunit ribosomal RNA
Source: RNAcentral